This 554-nucleotide ribosomal RNA is filed under the name uncultured bacterium. RNAcentral's name for it is "partial 16S ribosomal RNA". It matches the Rfam family "Bacterial small subunit ribosomal RNA", at positions 355 to 895 of the family's 1533-position model. The record is from RNAcentral.
UGGGGAAUAUUGCACAAUGGGCGCAAGCCUGAUGCAGCCAUGCCGCGUGUGUGAAGAAGGCCUUCGGGUUGUAAAGCACUUUCAGCGAGGAGGAAGGUGGUGGACUUAAUACGUUCAUCAAUUGACGUUACUCGCAGAAGAAGCACCGGCUAACUCCGUGCCAGCAGCCGCGGUAAUACGGAGGGUGCAAGCGUUAAUCGGAAUUACUGGGCGUAAAGCGCACGCAGGCGGUUUGUUAAGUCAGAUGUGAAAUCCCCGGGCUCAACCUGGGAACUGCAUUUGAAAACUGGCAAGCUAGAGUCUCGUAGAGGGGGGUAGAAUUCCAGGUGUAGCGGUGAAAUGCGUAGAGAUCUGGAGGAAUACCGGUGGCGAAGGCGGCCCCCUGGACGAAGACUGACGCUCAGGUGCGAAAAGCGUGGGGAGCAAAACAGGAUUAGAUAACCCUGGUAGUCCACGCUGUAAAACGAUGUCGAUUUUGGAGGUUGUGCCCUUGAGGCGUGGCUUCCGGAGCUAACGCGUUAAAUCGACCGCCUGGGGAGUACGGCCGCAAGGUU